Long non-coding RNA from Sceloporus undulatus (fence lizard), 2235 nucleotides. RefSeq lists it as uncharacterized. The record is from RefSeq and is a predicted model, not a curated record. Lineage: Eukaryota; Metazoa; Chordata; Lepidosauria; Squamata; Phrynosomatidae. The transcript is spliced from 7 exons.
GUUAGACGUCUUUUUAAUCUCUAUGAAGCCAAGCAAGGAGGGAACCGAGGGACCCCUCUGCGCAUGCGUCCCAAAUGGGCGCCAUUUUAAUGUCCCGCUCGCGUCGCGAGAGCGCCGCCUGAGAGAAACCGCUUGGAGCUCCUUUUCCCCCCCACUCUAACUCCCCUCCUCGGCUUUUCUCUGCCUUUCGGCCCGGCUAAACCCCAAGCCCGGUUUCGCCUCUCUUUGCUGUGGUGGCCCUGAGGGGGGAAAAAGAACCCCGAGGUUCAGAAACGUCGAAGGAAAAAGCCCAGAGUGGGCCGGCGGCCAUUUUGAGGGCGAGGCCCGUCUGCGCAUGCGCGUUGUUGUACAAGCGGGGAAGUUGUAAUUUAAAGUGAGGAACCUCGAAAAGGACGCCAAAUGUCGCCAAAUUGAAGACGAAUAACUCCCUGUCUUUCUAAUAAGCAGCAUACUGUGAAAGGAGGAAAUGGAAGAAACUUCUCCGUAUCAUGAAGUCCCAUAUUGAGAAUUGUAGGUUCAACCACAUCCAGAAAGCCACACAUUUCCUGUCCCUGCUUUAAAGCUCACAGAGAAUCUCUACCUCCCAUUCUGAAAUGGCAGUCCUGGGCAAACUGGCAGCAAAAGAGAAACAGGAACAUACAUCUUCAGGUAUACUGUGGGGAUGAAGGUUGGUCAUAUGUUUAUAAGCAGUCAGCUCUGGUAUAUCACUCCAUUAAUCCAUGGAAUCCAGGACUGAAUUACAAAAAGUUACUUUUUGGAUCUUCCUUAGCUAUCUCUCAGUGUAGACACAUAUACUUGUGGCACAGGCUUGCAGAUUAGACUAUGCUGUGUUGUAGUCUCUGAUUUAUAUGUGAGCCCAUUUGCUUGCAGGUAGUACUAUUUAAUAUGUCUGACAACUAACAGAAUGCCAGUUAGAUCAUUUUGACUUGCUAAUGAAAACUGAAAUGUUCAGCAGCUUGAGAGAAGGCACUUACAGUACUUGAAUAGGUUCCUUUCUAUUAGUAUUUCCAUAGUCAUCUGACAGAAGAUGAACAGAUGUGAACAACCAUGAUUGAAAAUAAAUAUGCAGUUGUAAUCUCUUGCUUGUUUCCAGGUCUGAUGCAAUCCACCUAUCUAGAUAACAGGUUAAAUGGCACAGAAUUUAAAAUUUAAAAUUACAUGAAAUCCUAAAAAUAAUAACUCUUGGAUGCAAUUAUAUCAGUUGUAUUAAACACCUCAAGUACAGUAACCCUUCCAAACAUUCCAAAUCUAGCUCUAUGAUUUGAGAUAGAAAUAAGAUGUGAGUGAUGUGAAUUCUUAAGUUCUUAAAGACUAUCUGUUCACUUAGGAAAGAUUUAAUGCAAACAGUUUCAGUGAGAUACGUUUUUAUUUAUCUUCUUUUUAAAAGCGAACCAUUUCACAGUGCUUUCAGUUUUCUCCAGGCAGCUUGGCAUGAGCAACUUGAUAGCAGUUUUAGAUUUAAAAAGCAAAGAGAAAGCAAAACAAAACAGUGAGAACAAGGAGUUAAUAUUGAGAGGGUACACCAAACAAGGCAGUAAUAACAAAGAUGAUAAUAUUAUCUGCUGAAGCUGACAAAAAGAGGACAAGUUACAACUUGUUCAUCUAAUUUCAACUUAGUCCCAUGGAACUAUAAAAGAAAGGAUGAAUAAGAGAGGAUAAACUCUCAAAUUAAUCCUCUAACUGAGCUAUUGACUACUGAGAGCACAUUUCACUUUUUACAAAUUAAACCAUAUGGCUUGUUCCUAAUAUAUUAUACAAAUAGCAAUUAAACAGGUAGCAAAAGAAGAAGCUUGAGAAGGCACUGAAACAAUAAAGAAAAGGAGGCAUCAUAUUGAGGCAUCAAGCCUUGAAGGUAGAGCGAAGCUUGGCAUGGUUGCAAACUGCAGGAACCAUCCUUGGUGAAAGGCACGCGCGUAAUCCGUCCUGGAAGCACCAAACUUUUUAUAUUCUCUCAACCGUCCAGCCUUCAGUAUGAACACAGUUCUGCCUGCUGGAAUUUUAGUGUGUGAAAUAAAUGCAUUUGUGGGCCUUAAAUCAGAUAAAAUAGGGUUGCCUAACAUCUUUAACAGCAAUGUACAUAUAUACUGGAUCUAUAUAAGAGGCACCAGUUCCUUGUGAAGUUCUGAACAAAAAGCAGGAAGCUGCACAAAGAAAGACAUCUUUUUUCAUGCACUGAAUCCAGCAAGAAUGCCAGAAGUCAUUCUCUAGCAUCAGGACAUUUCUUCUCCCUCCUUA